CCCGCACAAGCAGCGGAGCGUGUGGUUUAAUUCGAUGCAACACGAAGAACCUUACCAGGACUUGACAUGCUAGAAGUAGGAACCUGAAAGGGGGACGACCUGUUAAGUCAGGAGCUAGCACAGGUGCUGCAUGGCUGUCGUCAGCUCGUGCCGUGAGGCGUUGGGUUAAGUCCCGUAACGAGCGCAACCCUCGUUGCCAGUUAUUUUCUCUGGCGAGACUGCCCCGCAAAACGGGGAGGAAGGUGGGGAUGACGUCAAGUCAGCAUGGCCUUUAUGUCCUGGGCCACACACACGCUACAAUGGGUGGUACAGUAGGUUGCAAUGGAGCGAUCCGGAGCUAAUCCUAAAAGCCAUCCUCAGUUCAGAUUGCAGGCUGAAACUCGCCUGCAUGAAGUCGGAGUUGCUAGUAACCGCAUAUCAGCAUGGUGCGGUGAAUACGUUCUCGGGCCUU
This 451-nucleotide ribosomal RNA is filed under the name uncultured Chloroflexota bacterium. Its description in RNAcentral is "bacterial SSU rRNA". It matches the Rfam family "Bacterial small subunit ribosomal RNA", at positions 920 to 1382 of the family's 1533-position model. The record is from RNAcentral. Lineage: Bacteria; Bacillati; Chloroflexota.